AAAACAUUCAGACCAUCGGUCUAUCGAGCAAUAUCACCCGCUCGUGGAAGAACUUUCCUAUGUAUU
RNAcentral lists this microRNA precursor (66 nucleotides) under Bombyx mori (domestic silkworm). RNAcentral describes it as "mir-2774 microRNA precursor family". It matches the Rfam family "mir-2774 microRNA precursor family". Lineage: Eukaryota; Metazoa; Arthropoda; Insecta; Lepidoptera; Bombycidae. The record is from Rfam by way of RNAcentral.